RNAcentral lists this RNase P RNA (310 nucleotides) under Bacteroidales bacterium. RNAcentral describes it as "RNase P RNA component class A". It matches the Rfam family "Bacterial RNase P class A". Rfam says of the family: Ribonuclease P (RNase P) is a ubiquitous endoribonuclease, found in archaea, bacteria and eukarya as well as chloroplasts and mitochondria. Its best characterised activity is the generation of mature 5'-ends of tRNAs by cleaving the 5'-leader elements of precursor-tRNAs. Cellular RNase Ps are ribonucleoproteins. Lineage: Bacteria; Pseudomonadati; Bacteroidota; Bacteroidia; Bacteroidales. The record is from RNAcentral.
AAGGUGGAACGGUCUGCCGCGGCAGAAAUGCUGAGGAAAGUCCGGACAGAACAGGGCGCCUUGCUGCGGAAAGCGCAGAUGGGGGUAACCUCAUGUCCGCCGUAACAGAAAAUAACCGCCUGCGAAGGCAAGGGUGAAAACGUGAGGCAAGAGCUCACGACGCAGUGCAGCGAUGCCCUGCGGGUACGGCACCAGGGUCUGCAAGACCAAGUAUACCGGCAGUUGAGGGCGGCCCGCCUGAUGCCGGGGGGUAGGUUGCGAAGAUAAAUGGCAGAACAAACAGAAACCGGCUUACGGUUCCACCUUUUUU